AGUCACGCUGUAAACGAUGUCGAUUUGGAGUUUGUUGCCUAGAGUGAUGGGCUCCGAAGCUAACGCGAUAAAUCGACCGCUGGGGAGUACGGCCGCAAGGUUAAAACUCAAAUGAAUUGACGGGGGCCCGCACAAGCGGUAGAGCAUGUGGUUUAAUUCGAUGCAACGCGAAGAACCUUACCUGGUCUUGACAUCCAUAGAAUUCUGCAGAGAUGUGGGAGUGCCUUCGGGAACUAUGAGACAGGUGCUGCAUGGCUGUCGUCAGCUCGUGUUGUGAAAUGUUGGGUUAAGUCCCGCAACGAGCGCAACCCUUAUUCUUUGUUGCCAGCGAUUUGGUCGGGAACUCAAAGGAGACUGCCGUUGAUAAAGCGGAGGAAGGUGGGGGCGACGUCAAGUCAUCAUGGCCCUUACGACCAGGGCUACACACGUGCUACAAUGGCGUAUACAAAGGGAAGCGAAGGUGCGAGCUGGAGCGGAUCUCAUAAAGUACGUCUAAGUUCGGAUUGGAGUCUGCAACUCGACUCCAUGAAGUCGGAAUCGCUAGUAAUCGUAGAUCAGAAUGCUACGGUGAAUACGCUCCCGGGCCUUGUACACACCGCCCGUCACACCAUGGGAGUGGGUUGCACCAGAAGUAGAUAGCUUAACCGCGAGGGGGGCGUUUACCACGGUGUGAUUCAUGACUGGGGUGAAGUCGUAACAAGGUAACCA
This 708-nucleotide ribosomal RNA is filed under the name uncultured Enterobacteriaceae bacterium. RNAcentral describes it as "bacterial SSU rRNA". It matches the Rfam family "Bacterial small subunit ribosomal RNA", at positions 793 to 1502 of the family's 1533-position model. The record is from RNAcentral. Lineage: Bacteria; Pseudomonadati; Pseudomonadota; Gammaproteobacteria; Enterobacterales; Enterobacteriaceae.